CGGACGUAAAGAACUUGCCUCACAGCUAGGGACAACAUUUAGAAAUGAAUGCUAAUACCUGAUAUUAUGAUUUUAGGUCAUCUUAGAAUUAUGAAAGCUAUAAGCACUGUGAGAGAGCUUUGCGUCCCAUUAGCUAGUUGGAGAGGUAACAGCUCACCAAGGCGAUGAUGGGUAGCCGGCCUGAGAGGGUGAACGGCCACAAGGGGACUGAGGCACGGCCCUU
This 223-nucleotide ribosomal RNA is filed under the name uncultured bacterium. RNAcentral describes it as "partial 16S ribosomal RNA". It matches the Rfam family "Bacterial small subunit ribosomal RNA", at positions 112 to 334 of the family's 1533-position model. The record is from RNAcentral.